RNAcentral lists this ribosomal RNA (456 nucleotides) under uncultured bacterium. Its description in RNAcentral is "bacterial SSU rRNA". It matches the Rfam family "Bacterial small subunit ribosomal RNA", at positions 28 to 526 of the family's 1533-position model. The record is from RNAcentral.
GAUGAACGCUGGCGGUCUGCUUAACACAUGCAAGUCGAACGGGAAUCUUUUGAUUCUAGUGGCGGACGGGUGAGUAACACGUAAGAACCUGCCUCUUGGACGGGGACAACAGUUGGAAACGACUGCUAAACCCGGAUGAGCCGAAAGGUAAAAGAUUUAUCGCCAAGAGAGGGGCUUGCGUCUGAUUAGCUAGUUGGUGUGGUAAGGGCGCACCAAGGCGACGAUCAGUAGCUGGUCUGAGAGGAUGAUCAGCCACACUGGGACUGAGACACGGCCCAGACUCCUACGGGAGGCAGCAGUGGGGAAUUUUCCGCAAUGGGCGAAAGCCUGACGGAGCAAGACCGCGUGGGGGAGGAAGGUUCUUGGAUUGUCAACCCCUUUUCUCAGGGAAGAAGAAAGUGACGGUACCUGAGGAAGAAGCAUCGGCUAACUCCGUGCCAGCAGCCGCCGUAACAC